This 494-nucleotide ribosomal RNA is filed under the name uncultured Opitutia bacterium. Its description in RNAcentral is "bacterial SSU rRNA". It matches the Rfam family "Bacterial small subunit ribosomal RNA", at positions 9 to 497 of the family's 1533-position model. Lineage: Bacteria; Pseudomonadati; Verrucomicrobiota; Opitutia. The record is from RNAcentral.
GAGUUUGAUCGUGGCUCAGAACGAACGCUGGCGGCAUGCUUCAUACAUGCAAGUCGAACGGUUGUAGCAAUACAAUAGUGGCGAACGGGUGCGUAACACGUGGAUAAUCUGCCCUUUGGCGGGGGAUAUCGGCUGGAAACGGCCGGCAAUACCGCAUGUGGCCCGUGGGUCUCUGGACCUGCGGAAGAAAGGCGCUUCACGGCGUCGCCAGAGGAUGAGUCCGCGGCCCAUUAGCUAGUUGGUGAGAUAACAGCCCACCAAGGCUUUGAUGGGUAGCCGAGCUGAGAGGUUGAUCGGCCACACUGGGACUGAGACACGGCCCAGACACCUACGGGUGGCAGCAGUAGGGAAUAUUGGACAAUGGGCGAAAGCCUGAUCCAGCAAUGCCGCGUGAGUGACGAAGGAUUUCGGUCUGUAAAGCUCUUUUGUGAGGGAAGAAACGACGCGUGAGGAAAUGCUCGCGUCUUGACGGUACCUCAUGAAUAAGGGACGGC